CAGUGUAGGGAGGACAGCAAGCACUGAGUGGGACUGCAGGUCUGCUGUCCUUAACUUUUCCACACCCAGGACAGCCCGGCUGUCAGCACAGGGCAGCAGAAAGGACAGGGGACAGGCUCCAGGUGUGGGCGAGUCCCAGAGCAGCCCGGGGAGAGUGUCACCGUGUGGGUGCUGGCGUGGGGGCAGGAGCACACCACAUGCAGUUGCACGUGGGACUGGAUCUGAGGCUUUGGGGAAGCAUUCAAGCCCCGGGGUGUGUGUGAGGGGGUCCUCCCCACGAGCAAUUCUCCAGGCCCAGCAAUGGCCGAUUUCCUCUGCUUGAGGAGAAAUCUCCUGUGAGGAAGGUGGAGGCAGGCUCUGUGGUCAGACAGGCUGCUGUCUGAGGCGUUAGCCAGUUCUCGCUCCCCCCCUGAACAUGUCAACAGCCUCUUUGGACAGAUGGGAAGAUAAAGAGGCACCAGAGACCCUCCUAGCCCAUGCUGGAAGAGAAGGCCAUUCCAUCUGGGAAUCACAUGGCACUAGGUGGAGAAAGAACCAACUGGGCCCCAUGCCUUGCAGAACCAGCAUCCAGCCUGUGUCCACAGUGCUCCUGGAGCCACAGAAUGUUUCAUGCCUCUAACCCUGCUUUCUGUCUGUCUGUCUGUCUGUCUGUCUGUCUCUCUGUGUGUGAGUUCUACAUACAUGUGUAACAUUCACACUCAUGCUCUGGCCCAUGAGCUUUAUCCAUGUGCUCAGCACCCUCCCAUCCAAAAAUCUCCAAAGCACAGGCGACCAGCCUGAGUUCUCCAACAGACGGUCACUCCCAGGCUCCACCCAGCCCUUCCCCAGCCCCUUCACACAGCCCAGCUCAGCCAGGCAGGUGUCCCCUAGGGCACUAUUUUCAAGCACACUUUCUCUGCAGAUGUUCAGUCAUUUGCACCUGGGACUGCUCUGCAUUUGUGCGUCAGCCUCAGUGGGGGUGUCUGAAUUGGGUGAGAAGGUGUGUCCGGAGAAGAAUCCUGACUUGCAUUGGUCUGAGCAGAAAACGAAUAAAAAAUGUUCUCGCCAUGGAAAAAUCCAGAAGGGUGUUGGCCCAGGCACAGCUCUGGGUCAAAGUUUUAAGAACCCCCACUCAUCUCUCUUGGCUGCCUUCACCUUCCUUAACCUCCGGACUAGCACCAUCAAGAAAGCCUCUAGGAGCCAGGUGGUGGUGGCACACGCCUUUGAUCCCA
Long non-coding RNA from Mus pahari (shrew mouse), 1211 nucleotides. RefSeq lists it as uncharacterized. The record is from RefSeq and is a predicted model, not a curated record. NCBI's taxonomy places the organism in Eukaryota, Metazoa, Chordata, Mammalia, Rodentia, Muridae. The transcript has 3 exons.